ACGGGUGCGUAACGCGUGGGAAUCUGCCCUCUGGUUCGGAAUAACUCAGGGAAACUUGAGCUAAUACCGGAUAAUGUCUUCGGACCAAAGAUUUAUCGCCUGAGGAUGAGCCCGCGUCGGAUUAGCUAGUUGGUGGGGUAAAAGCCUACCAAGGCGACGAUCCGUAGCUGGUCUGAGAGGAUGAUCAGCCACACUGGGACUGAGACACGGCCCAGACUCCUACGGGAGGCAGCAGUAGGGAAUAUUGGACAAUGGGCGAAAGCCUGAUCCAGCAAUGCCGCGUGAGUGAUGAAGGCCUUAGGGUUGUAAAGCUCUUUUACCCGGGAUGAUAAUGACAGUACCGGGAGAAUAAGCCCCGGCUAACUCCGUGCCAGCAGCCGCGGUAAUACGGAGGGGGCUAGCGUUGUUCGGAAUUACUGGGCGUAAAGCGCACGUAGGCGGCUUUGCAAGUCAGAGGUGAAAGCCCGGGGCUCAACCCCGGAAUUGCCUUUGAGACUGCAUCGCUAGAAUUGUGGAGAGGUAAGUGGAAUUCCGAGUGUAGAGGUGAAAUUCGUGGA
RNAcentral lists this ribosomal RNA (557 nucleotides) under uncultured bacterium. Its description in RNAcentral is "bacterial SSU rRNA". It matches the Rfam family "Bacterial small subunit ribosomal RNA", at positions 102 to 694 of the family's 1533-position model. The record is from RNAcentral.